Molecule: long non-coding RNA, 337 nt
Filed under: Setaria viridis
Lineage: Eukaryota; Viridiplantae; Streptophyta; Magnoliopsida; Poales; Poaceae
Description: long non-coding RNA (SVIR_LNC009411)
Source: RNAcentral
AAAGAACUACUUCUCGUGUUGGGUCAGUCCUAGCACAUGUCUCCACAUGUGCCCACAUUAUUAGUUUAACAUCUCCAUGUCCAUGACUUGUGAAACAUAGUCAUCAACUAAUACAUGUGCUGGUCUAAUAUUCAUGUGUGUCCUCACAUGAACUCUGACUAGGGACAACUUUAGAAUAACCAUACAAGUAAAGAGUUUCACAUACAAUUCACAUAAUUGCAAAUCAAUUCAAGUAAUCUUUAAUGGAUAUUCAAUGAACACAAUAUACAAAUCAUGGAUACAAAUGGAAUAUCAUCAUCUCUAUGAUUGCCUCUAGGGCAUACCUCCAACAGUCUCC